UGGGGAAUAUUGCACAAUGGGCGAAAGCCUGAUGCAGCAACGCCGCGUGAGUGAUGAAGGCCUUCGGGUUGUAAAGCUCUGUCUUUUGGGACGAUAAUGACGGUACCAAAGGAGGAAGCCACGGCUAACUACGUGCCAGCAGCCGCGGUAAUACGUAGGUGGCAAGCGUUGUCCGGAUUUACUGGGCGUAAAGGAUGCGUAGGCGGAUUUUUAAGUGAGAUGUGAAAUACCCGGGCUUAACUUGGGUGCUGCAUUUCAAACUGGGAAUCUAGAGUGCGGGAGAGGAGAAUGGAAUUCCUAGUGUAGCGGUGAAAUGCGUAGAGAUUAGGAAGAACACCAGUGGCGAAGGCGAUUCUCUGGACCGUAACUGACGCUGAGGCAUGAAAGCGUGGGUAGCAAACAGGAUUAGAUACCCUGGUAGUCCACGCCGUAAACGAUGAGUACUAGGUGUAGGAGGUAUCGACCCCUUCUGUGCCGCAGUUAACACAAUAAGUACUCCGCCUGGGAAGUACGAUCGCAAGGUUAAAACUCAAAGGAACUUGACGGGGUCAUAGCUGUUUCCU
This 563-nucleotide ribosomal RNA is filed under the name uncultured bacterium. RNAcentral describes it as "partial 16S ribosomal RNA". It matches the Rfam family "Bacterial small subunit ribosomal RNA", at positions 355 to 1375 of the family's 1533-position model. The record is from RNAcentral.